RNAcentral lists this long non-coding RNA (507 nucleotides) under Gallus gallus (chicken). Lineage: Eukaryota; Metazoa; Chordata; Aves; Galliformes; Phasianidae. The record is from RNAcentral.
UGGCCGCCUCUACAGGCCAUUGUGAGGACACUGGCUCCUAAUUUGUUCUGUGCGUUGAGAUCAGCACCAUUUUCCAGCAAGAUGUGAGCCACACUUAGGUGUCCAAACCUGGCCGCCUGCAUCAGCGGGCUCCAGCCGUAGUGGUUCGUGCUCUGCACCGAGGCCCCCUUCCGCAGCAGGAACCGCACCAGCUGCUCGUGGCCACCCGCCGCGGCGAACUGCAGCCCCGUGUUGCCCGCCUCGUCGGUGCAGUCCACGGCGACGACGGGAGCAGGGGCGGCGGCGGCCGCCUCUCCGCGGGGCUCAGCCGUCUCCUCGGUGCCGCAGGCGGAGGCGGCCGCCGACCCGGCGGUGCCGCCUGGCAGCCCCAGCAGGCGCCGGGCGGUCUCGCAGUCGCCUUGCUCGCAGGCACGGAGGAAGAGCUGGACCUGGGCGGGCACCCCGCACUCCCCCAUGGGCAGCGCCAGCAGGGCCCGACGAGCUCGGCCGCCCGUGCCUGCCCGCCCC